UACGAAGGUCUCAAGCGUUGUUCGGAUUCAUUGGGCGUAAAGGGUGCGUAGGUGGUUAGGUAAGUCGGAUGUGAAAUCCCGGGGCUCAACCUCGGAACUGCAUUCGAUACUGCUUGACUAGAGUACUGGAGAGGAGAUUGGAAUUUACGGUGUAGCAGUGAAAUGCGUAGAUAUCGUAAGGAAGACCAGCGGCGAAGGCGGAUCUCUGGACAGUUACUGACACUGAGGCACGAAGGCCAGGGGAGCAAACGGG
This 253-nucleotide ribosomal RNA is filed under the name uncultured bacterium. Its description in RNAcentral is "partial 16S ribosomal RNA". It matches the Rfam family "Bacterial small subunit ribosomal RNA", at positions 524 to 776 of the family's 1533-position model. The record is from RNAcentral.